GUGAAGAAUUAUUAUUUUUAAUUCUCCUUUCAGGCUUCAGAGGGCACCAGAGAGCUGGAAAAUGUUUUCAGAAGAUGUGUAACUUGAGCAAAGUGAGAAACCCAGGAAGCUAACUUACAUGAACAUCUAACUGGACAAAGUAUAAAUGAGACAUAAGUGGGCCAUUUGGUAUUAGUGCUGACUUGGCAAUGUACUGAAAGGCAAUAUUGGACAUCUAUUUAAUUUCUAAUAUGUGAUGUUCAGUGGAGUUGUUUGGUUUUGGUUUUUGUUUUUGUUUUUGCAACAAGCACAGAUUCUGUCUGAUCCUUGUAAUCUGAGGCCUGAUGAUUAAAGAGGAAGCUGCGUA
Long non-coding RNA from Hemicordylus capensis (graceful crag lizard), 346 nucleotides. RefSeq lists it as uncharacterized. The transcript has 2 exons. Lineage: Eukaryota; Metazoa; Chordata; Lepidosauria; Squamata; Cordylidae. The record is from RefSeq and is a predicted model, not a curated record.